GCAGUGACUUCAUUAACCAUACAGAAGAAGUUUACUUUGUAGUUCUCCAGCCUGUCGCAGGGGAGCUUUUAAAUCAUGUAUCUUCAGAUGCUUGUUGUGCAAUUUAAGACUCGCAUCGACUUUUCCAACAAAAAGGCCCAAUCCUGUGAAGAAUGGAGCGCCCUUCCGAGUCAGACUGAAGACCCUCCUCUGUUGGUGCACGUUACCAUGGUAAGAAGAGUUUACAAACACUGUUCCACCUAACAAGGCUUUGAACAGCAUUUGUGCAGAGCUGCUCCACAGCAUGCCGAGAGUGUCAGCAGGGCUAGAAACACUGAUUUCGCCUGCAGGACAGUAUGUCAAGUGCACUCUCAGCAAGAACCCGCAGCGGAUCCUGCCCAGACUGGAACCAGUUUGUGGCCCUGACCUGAAAUGUCAACAGCAGUAUGAAAGCUAGCAGCUCUCCCCAAGGAUCACAGGACUAUUUUCAAUGUAAUCAGCCAAGAAUAGUGCUGGACAAAUAAUCAUUAUCGACUAAUUUUAUUUGGUUUUGUCAAUUGGGCAGCUCUGUGCGUUAAUUCUAGAAGGAUUUCUGCACUAUCAAUGAAAAUGUUUCUCUCCUUUGCAAUUUUGCUAUUCCCAUUGCUUGGUUUCAGUACUGAUGGAUACUUUAUGCUUUUCCCAUUAAGCUUUUGCUCACCUUUAUGAAGCGUCACUAGGAUUAUUCUCACUGAUGGGGAAACAUGGAGGGUAGCUUCUGCCCACAGAUUGGACUGAUAAUACAGUUCCAGAGCGCUACUACACUAGUUUGAACUACUGUUCGAACUGAAGUCAGUGGCAAAGCACAAGUCGGGAAUAAAAUCAGCCCCUGUUCAACUGGCAUUUCAUUUAAAGGGACUUAACAUUUGCUGGGAUAUUUAACGCCGCAAAGCUCACAUGCCUUUGCAAGCUACCACUUUAAAAUGCUAGCUAAAAAUAUUUGCCUUAUCUGAAGUCAGACGAAUAAAUCCUCCCUACUGCUGGGUACACAGUGUGGCAGUGUACAAUACAACUGCAAAUUUAUUCGUUAGAAACUGUACAUCUGUUAUGAUUUACACUUGCCAAAAUAUAAUUCUUUAUGGCAACAAUUGUUUCAUGGUGCUUAAAGUUUUUCACCUCUGUGCCAGGAAUCUCAUGUGGGAUAAUUCCAUGACCUUGGAAUCCAGCAGAUACAUUCCACAUCUGUCUGGUCUG
Phalacrocorax carbo (great cormorant) is the source of this 1212-nucleotide non-coding RNA. NCBI's taxonomy places the organism in Eukaryota, Metazoa, Chordata, Aves, Suliformes, Phalacrocoracidae. The record is from RefSeq and is a predicted model, not a curated record.